Nycticebus coucang (slow loris) is the source of this 4230-nucleotide long non-coding RNA. RefSeq lists it as uncharacterized. The record is from RefSeq and is a predicted model, not a curated record. The transcript has 4 exons. Lineage: Eukaryota; Metazoa; Chordata; Mammalia; Primates; Lorisidae.
CCCGGGUGUCGGGGCUGGGGCGCGGAGUGGCAGUCUCGGCCGCCACGUGGCCGGGAGGAGAAAUGCAAACAAGGAAACCGGGGAAGGGGGGAAGAGGGGUGAGUCAUUGCGGCCCCGCCCGGGAGGGAAAUCCGGGCUGGGGCCUCUUCCCGGCCGGGGGCGCCUGCCUCUUGUUUCUCUGCAGGGUCUCCACCAGCCCGGGGCGGGGGGAGGGAUUGGACGGCUUUCCCGUGGGGAAUCCCGCUGCGGAGCCUCCCACUGUUGCGUUCCUGGAUGCUCGCCCCCUCCUCCGCCCCAGCACGCAGGCCGGGCGCGAGUGAGGAAACUGAGGCUACAGAGGAAGGAGAUCGCUCCGGAAUGCACCGGGGCAGGAGUCGCGGCGGAGCUUCCAGGAGGAAAGCGGGUUCUAGGAGGUCGCGCACCGCGCGCGCUCCCCGGCGGCCGGGCAGGCGGAGGCAGAGUCCUACGCUGCGAGUUCAGCGCUGACCCCCACACACUGUGGGCCUCAGUGGUGGCCCAGAGCUGCCCUCUCCGCCCCACUCCUGCUUCCCAGAGGGCGGGGAGACAGUGGCCCCCGGCCGGCGACUCCCGUGGCGUCCCAUGACUGCUCAGGACUACAAUGAGGGUUUGGAGUGAGACACAUGCCCCGCCCCCAGCUUUCUAGGGCUCGUUCCCAUUUUGCCCGUCUCUUCCCUUUUCCAUUUGUUGUUGAGCCUGCCCGGACUUGGGGAGAAACAUCUCUAACAAGCGUCUACUCCCUCUUUUAGGACAUCAGGGAGAGAGUAAUUUUGUUAAAAUCUCGGGGGGUUUUGGUUCUCGUAUGGGGGGGGCGGGUUGUAUUUGUUUGGUUUUUGCUCAGGCUGGUCUUGAACUCCUGAGUUUAAGCAAUCCGCCCUCCUCGGCUUCCCAGAGUCCUGCGAUUAAAGGCAUGAGCCAACGUGCCUGGCCUGAAAAAUCUCAGUUUGAAAAUUUCUGCAUUUUAUUAACAAUCGUUUCAUCCCCCCAAAUUCAGAUUCAGUCCUGUUGGCAUGAGAUGGAAAAUCUGUGUUUUGAACAAACAUCUUAGGCCAUCUGCUGUGUCUACACUUAAACACUGGUGGCAUUUUAAACGCUCCUCCAUGGCAAGAGGAGAGCCUGAGAAUGAAUGUGACACAAACCCAUCCACCCAAGUUCUGGUCAUUUGGAAGAAGGAAGAACGGCCUGGAUACUGGCAGGAAAGGAUGACAAGCUGGGAGUCACAGGCAUGCACAGGAAAAAGAGUUGGGGCGGGGGGAGGGUUUAAGUGAGUUUUAGGUUGCUGGGGCUAGUGGCUUGACUUAGAAGUUCUUGAAGGAGAGUUUCCGGAGACUGACAGUGGGAGUCAGCAAGGGGUCCCCUAUUUCCUAUUCCCACUUCCCCUACUUUUAGCAGGUGGAAAAGAUGCGGAGAGGCAGGAUGCCUGCUUAUCUUUCAGCAAGGCCACAGAAACUUGUCAUGGGCUGGUACCAUUCAAGUGUUUUCCAUGUAUUUAACCCCUGCCACGAUGCUAUGAGAGACGGAGCAGAUGGCCUGUGAUGAUGACCUGUUCACUAGUAGCUCAAGGAGAUCACAGUGUACCCCUGUCCUGUUUCUGUUGCUAGCAGGCAAGGCCCCCAGCCUCCUGCCAAGGCAGGUGAUGAGGAAGGUUUUCCUUCUCUCAGGAUUUCUGGAUGGGGACCGGCCAUUGGCGUUUGUGCUCAGUAGAUAAUUGAUAGAGACUGAGGCCUGGAGGGGGCAAAGGACUGGGAGUGUGUCUGAGGAAGACAUUCAGGCCAGAUGGUUAGUCAUCUUGGGGACACUCAUGCCACGUCCGGGUGUAGCCUCCACCCUCCUAUGACUGUCACUAGAUGCCAGGCAGGUGUGUUGGGACAGAUAAAUAAUAACAAUAGUUCACAUGCACCAGUCCCUGUUCUUGAAUUUUAUAAACACUGAUUUAAUUGUCACAACUACCUUAUGAGACAAAGUUGUUAUUAUAGUUAUGCCAUUUUACAGAUGAAGAAGCCGAGAUACAAAGACGUUAAAUGACUUGUCCGAGGUCCUGCCACUAGGAAGUGGUGGAGCAGUGAUUCCACCCAGGUGAUUGCGAUUCUGUGCGCUUUAUCAUUCUGCAGUCCUGCCUCUUGAACACUCUGACAGCUCCUACAAAGGGGGAAAAGCCCUCACUCAAGGUCAUUUCCUCACACCUGGGUACACUGGCCCAGGGGUGGGGGGUAGGGGUGGAAUGGGUAGACAAGGGAAGCUGAGCAGUGGGCCCCCUUGACACAGUCUGCCCAGAUAAUCAGCUCCUGACGGCAAACUGUUCCCCAUUCACUUCAGGCAGUGGCAGAGGCUCCCACAGAAUAGUCAAGGAGAGUGGGCUGGGAGAGGAGGGCUUCUUGAAUUAGGCUUCGACUCUGGGCUGUGUUUCUCCCACCUUGGCCUCUUUGCUGAGUUCACAUGGUCAGCCUAUACCUUCCCGGAUGUCCACGGGAGCCUCAUAUUCUGUGUGUCAAAAACCCCCUCCUUCCACCUUGCCUCUGGAAGCUCCUGCCUAAGCAAUGAACCUGAUAGCCUAGGUCCCUCCUUCUCCCAUAUCCAAUCAAACACUGCCUCUGGUAUAGUCCAACAAUGAAACAUCUUUUGUAUCUGACCUGUUUGCGCCAUUCUCUCUGCAACUGCUCUAGCCCCAGGGUGGUCUCUUCCAGCACUUACUAUGUGCAGAAUUCUAUAUUACUUGGUUUUUAGAUACCUUUUAUCCUGAGAACAAUUCCUACUGCCAGUCAGGAGAUUGAGGCACAGAGAGAUGAAGUAACUUGCCCAAGGUCAUACAGCUAGUAAGUGCCAGAUCCAGGCAGUCCAAUUGCAGAGUCCAUAUUCUUAACCACUUUUUAUACCACUGCCCUUGCCCUGAUUGCUGCUCUCAGCCUUGCCUUGCUCAGUCCUUCUGUGCAAUGCCACAUGAAUCUUUAAAAAAUCUUUAAUUCAUUCAACAAUGUUUGCUGUAGGUGCCAAGAACUCUACUGUAAAUUGGAGAAUUAUCUUUGAUCUCCCUAACACACUAAUCUGAUUGGCUCUCCCUACCCAGCCCAGUGUCUGGCAUAAAGUGGGUGCUUAUAGGGUAUGGGUGGAAAUGAAAUGAGCAGGAACCAUGGGAAGGCAGCUGGUGCCUGCUAUGGGCCUAUACCAGGACAGCUCAACUAGAAGUAGAGCUAGUCUGCCAGUUCAUUUUUAAGGCCUUCCAUUUCAUCUCCCUCCCUCUUUGCCAUUUCCUUGUCUCCUACUUGUUUCUCUGUCCUACUCUGCAAAGCCUAAGUCAUGUCCUUUGAGGGUCAUUGUUGGGAUGGGGAAUGAAAGGGUAGAGGGAGUUUUCACUAAUAGGCCUCCUGUAGGUCUGUAGAAAAGGGCCAGUUUGGAGACCAACUCUGAAAUAAAGCAAUAGAUGUAAAAGCUGUACUGGGACCUUGGUCUGCAGCCAGUUCUCUGCCAGCACUCUACAAAUUGACAUUGGCCAUGGGAGGUCAACAGUGGAGAAAGAUUGAGAAGAGAGCCCAGAUACAGUCUUCUGACGGUGCUCCAUCCACCUGUGCAUGAGAGGGGCAAGGAAGCCCUGAAUGGACCUGCAGUGGCGGUGGUGGUGCUGGAGCUUCGGGGGAGAGUGGGAGAAGCCAAGAAAUCCGGGAAGAAGAAGGGCAGGUCUGGAGGUGCCCUGAAGGGAGAGGAGCCAGCCUUCCUCCCAGGCAAGUUUGGUGUUCUGUGGACCUGCAGAAAUGAAUACUGCUCUCUCUCCUGGCUUCUGCCUCGCAAGGAGAAAGAGUAUGUGUGUGUCUCCUAUGUGUCCCAAUAGUGAUCUGACCUCGAGUGAUCAGUGUGCUGAAAUGACUGCUCCAUUCCAGAGAGUUGGCAAAGGAGGCUGCAGAAGCCUGAAGGAGUGGACACGGACCACCCAGUUGGCCUUUGCCUCUGGAAUGGAGAGGCAUCCAGGGACACAGGAAGUCCUUCCUAGCUUUCAGCUUCAGCCCCCCCGGUCAGUGAGCUGCACACUGCACAGCUGGCCUGAAUCUUCAUUUAACCUUCCCCAACUGCUCCAGCUCUGCCCAGGCCUCAGCUGAGGGUGCCACAAGCUGGUGGAGUGGCCACUGCUCGCCUGAUCUGCCCCAACCUGGGCCCCAUUUCCUUACCACAUGCCUGGCACUAGUCUGGAGUAAAGAAUUACAUAACUAGGGGUGGCGCCUG